This 927-nucleotide ribosomal RNA is filed under the name uncultured bacterium. RNAcentral describes it as "bacterial SSU rRNA". It matches the Rfam family "Bacterial small subunit ribosomal RNA", at positions 8 to 917 of the family's 1533-position model. The record is from RNAcentral.
AGAGUUUGAUCAUGGCUCAGGACGAACGCUGGCGGCGUGCCUAAUACAUGCAAGUCGAGCGGAUGACGAGGAGCUUGCUCCUCUGAUUCAGCGGCGGACGGGUGAGUAACACGUGGGCAACCUGCCUGUAAGACUGGGAUAACUCCGGGAAACCGGGGCUAAUACCGGAUAGGUGAUGUCUUCGCAUGAAGAGAUCAGGAAAGAUGGCUUCGGCUAUCACUUACAGAUGGGCCCGCGGCGCAUUAGCUAGUUGGUGAGGUAACGGCUCACCAAGGCGACGAUGCGUAGCCGACCUGAGAGGGUGAUCGGCCACACUGGGACUGAGACACGGCCCAGACUCCUACGGGAGGCAGCAGUAGGGAAUCUUCCGCAAUGGACGAAAGUCUGACGGAGCAACGCCGCGUGAGCGAAGAAGGUCUUCGGAUCGUAAAGCUCUGUUGUUAGGGAAGAACAAGUACCGUUCGAAUAGGGCGGUACCGUGACGGUACCUAACCAGAAAGCCACGGCUAACUACGUGCCAGCAGCCGCGGUAAUACGUAGGUGGCAAGCGUUGUCCGGAAUUAUUGGGCGUAAAGCGCGCGCAGGCGGCUUCUUAAGUCUGAUGUGAAAGCCCGCAGCUCAACUGCGGAGGGUCAUUGGAAACUGGGAAGCUUGAGUGCAGAAGAGGAGAGUGGAAUUCCACGUGUAGCGGUGAAAUGCGUAGAGAUGUGGAGGAACACCAGUGGCGAAGGCGGCUCUCUGGUCUGUAACUGACGCUGAGGCGCGAAAGCGUGGGGAGCAAACAGGAUUAGAUACCCUGGUAGUCCACGCCGUAAACGAUGAGUGCUAAGUGUUAGAGGGUUUCCGCCCUUUAGUGCUGCAGCUAACGCAUUAAGCACUCCGCCUGGGGAGUACGGCCGCAAGGCUGAAACUCAAGGAAUUGACGGA